RNAcentral lists this ribosomal RNA (335 nucleotides) under Acaulospora longula. RNAcentral describes it as "eukaryotic LSU rRNA". The record is from RNAcentral. Lineage: Eukaryota; Fungi; Glomeromycota; Glomeromycetes; Diversisporales; Acaulosporaceae.
UUGAAAGGGAAACGAUUGAAGUCAGUCAUGUUGGUAGGGAAUCAACUUGAUGGUAUGCGGGUUUACUCGUGUUCUUUUGAGUGCACUUCCUUACUUGCUAGUUAGCAUCAAUUUUGGUUAUCAUAUAAAAAUUGAGGGAAGGUGGCUUUUCUUCGGAAAAGUGUUAUAGACCUUGAUUAUUGUGGUGACCGGGAUUGAGGAUUGCAGCGGAUACCCUUUUGGGCUAGUCACCUGGCUUCUGAUAAUUACCCUGCCUUUGAUAGCUUGCUGACGUUGGUGGGACUCGAUUGUCUAGAUGUUAGAGUGAUCAUAAAUUCGUUAAGGAUGUUGACGUA